GUAAGUUUACUUCCAGGUACCAAAAACGUACUUGGGUAUGCUUGUUGGUUCUGUAUGCGCAUUAAUGGGUGUAUUAACCAUUGCACUGCCAGUUCCAGUUAUCGUUGCCAAC
This is a non-coding RNA of Syphacia muris, 112 nucleotides long. Lineage: Eukaryota; Metazoa; Nematoda; Chromadorea; Rhabditida; Oxyuridae. The record is from Rfam.